CAUGGACAAUUUCUCUCUGUCUAGAACCCACCAAAGGUGUCUUCAACUCCAACUUAAGAGUUGUAGACUUCACAGAGUUCUGACUUACUCACCUGGAUAGUUUCUCAGUCUGACAUCAGGAACAUAGGCACAAGAAUAGACUGUUCAGCUUGGUCCACCUUUCUACAUCAUGGCUAAUCUCCUCAAUGCCAAUUGCACUGUCACCUUGUGCCUAUCAAUUUCUGAUAACAUUCUUGUUCCCUACUGAAUGCUUCAAUCGAUCCUGCCUCCUCCGCACUCUCAGGAAAUACAUUCCAGGCCUUAACCAUUUGUUUUGUGAAAAAGCUUCGCCCUCAUAUUGACUUUGAUUCUUCUGCCAACGACUAUAAAUCUGAACUCUGAUGUCAACUCCCACUGCUGAGACUUUUAAAAAAAAACUUGCCUGGGAUGUGGGUGUCACUGGCAACAGGACUAACAAUUGCCCUUGAACUAAGUGGUUUACUGGGUCAUUUCUGAGAGCAGUUAAGAGUCAACCAUAUUGCUGUGUGCCUGGAGUGAAACAUAGGCCAGAACAGAUGCUGCCUGACCUGCCGUGUUCAAAACGUUCAGCAUUUUUGCACCACUUUUAUCUCUCAACCAACGCCUAAAAGUCAAUAUUUGGCCAUUUAUUUAAAUUAUUCAAUGCUGUUCAUGGGAUUUUGGUGCCUGUAAGUUGGUUGCUACUUUUUCUGCACAUAAUAGCAACAAACUCCAAAAUAAUUGACUGUAAAUUACUUCUGAGACAUCCUGUUGUUGUGAAAAGUGCUAGCAAAUGCAAAUUCUUAGUUUUGUAUUUCUGUAAAACACCAAACUUAAAGCAAAUAAAAAUUAGGUGGAAUCUUAUGAAGGCCUGAACAACAUGGGCUGUUGUGAGAAAUGUGCAAUUAUGGAAGAAAUUCAACAUACAUUGACUUUGGAAGCAACUUUCUGUGCCUUUUACCCACAUUGUGGGUGUCAAGGCCAGACCCUCGUUAGGCGGUAGUCAGUUGCCUAUGAAGAGAGAUUGUUGUCUGUGCACAGCACUGUUAAUGCCACAAAAUUGUUAAUACCAUGACAUUGUUAAUGACACAACUUGCCUCAUUAAUACGCAUCUCUUUAUCCUCUCACCCUAGACAUCAAGAAAUCUCACUAUGGAAGUCAGAUUGGAUACCUGGCAAAUUUAGUUCACUGCUUGUUCCAAAGGAUCUCCACGUCUAUAAUAGGCAUAAGCAUCUCAGAUCAUGCUCCAUGGGCACCAGUCAGACAAACCCCACAUCCACAGAUAGCUGAGACUGAGCUGGCCUUGGUGGCAAGCUCAGACCAGGCUGGCAUGGUCUGGUGGCCUGGUGUCAUGGUCUCCAUUGCUGGUCCUUAAGGCGGUGGAAGACCUGUCU
Stegostoma tigrinum is the source of this 1391-nucleotide long non-coding RNA. RefSeq lists it as uncharacterized. NCBI's taxonomy places the organism in Eukaryota, Metazoa, Chordata, Chondrichthyes, Orectolobiformes, Stegostomatidae. The record is from RefSeq and is a predicted model, not a curated record. The transcript is spliced from 4 exons.